Molecule: long non-coding RNA, 951 nt
Organism: Oncorhynchus tshawytscha (Chinook salmon)
Lineage: Eukaryota; Metazoa; Chordata; Actinopteri; Salmoniformes; Salmonidae
Source: Ensembl
ACCAAACCACAUAGCUCAGCCAGUAGACUACCAAACCACAUAGCUCAGCCAGUAGACUACCAAACCACAUAGCUCAGCCAGUAGACUACCAAACCACCUAGCUCAGCCAGUAGACUACCAAACCACAUUACAAUUGCAGCAAAUGCAUUUCCAUCCAUAUCCUGAAGCUAAUUGACAAAAGUUGUGUUUCCCACAGGGAGGUCUGUACUUACUGUACUGGAGAGAGUCCACCACAGAAUGGCCUGUAUAUGUGAUGAGCUCUAUUGGGAAUGAUUGGCCUCCUGUUUCUGUGGAUGACACAAGGGCAGGUGUAACACUUGACCAACAUGACAUUGAUGUGACAUUCAGUUCUGGUUGAUGUAGGACAGAUUCAGUACUGGUUGCUAUAGGACAGGUUAGGUACUGGAAGCUGUAGGACAGGUUCAGUACUGGUUGCUAGAGGACAGGUUAGGUACUGGAAGCUGUAGGACAGGUUCAGUACUGGUUGCUAGAGGACAGGUUAGGUACUGGAAGCUGUAGGACAGGUUCAGUGCUGGUUGCUAGAGGACAGGUAAAAUACUGUUUGUGUUGCUUGUUGUUUGUCUGUUAACAUGACUCUGAGCAUACAGAAGGAUCAGUGGAAAGUGUAUACCAUGGGACAGAUACACGGUAUUGCAUUGAAAGGAUCCAGGUAUGUCCUUACAGCAUGUGUUUUGGUCGAUGGCUUUGAUUCUGUUGUAUAAUGUUCACUGAACUGUUUUCUGUUCUUAGAUGGAAAACCACUCCAUAGAACCUCAUACCCAGAAAAUCAAUAUCCUCAUACUACAUUCAUACUGUUGCUAAGUCAUAUUCCAGAAAUAUUUAAUUAAAGGAUGUUUUUUUUAUUUUUUAUUGUUUUGUAAAAUAAACUUUAUAUAAAUGUGGAAUUCUUUCCAAUUGCAUACUGGUUUUGAUUGAGGUAACACAUUCAGA